RNAcentral lists this ribosomal RNA (529 nucleotides) under uncultured bacterium. Its description in RNAcentral is "bacterial SSU rRNA". It matches the Rfam family "Bacterial small subunit ribosomal RNA", at positions 777 to 1320 of the family's 1533-position model. The record is from RNAcentral.
AAUAGAUACCCGGGUAGUCCUAGCAGUAAACGAUGACCACUAGGUGUGGGGGGGUGUUGACCCCUUCCGUGCCGAAGCUAACGCAUUAAGUGGUCCGCCUGGGGAGUACGGUCGCAAGACUAAAACUCAAAGGAAUUGACGGGGACCCGCACAAGCAGCGGAGCGUGUGGUUUAAUUCGAUGCAACGCGAAGAACCUUACCUGGGCUUGACAUGUACUCGCAAACCCCUGAAAGGGGGUCCUCCUUCGGGACGGGUGCACAGAUGCUGCAUGGCUGUCGUCAGCUCGUGUCGUGAGAUGUUGGGUUAAGUCCCGCAACGAGCGCAACCCUCGUCCUUAGUUGACUAUCUAAGGAGACUGCCGGAAACAAACCGGAGGAAGGUGGGAUGACGUCAAGUCAGCAUGGCUCUUACGUCCAGGGGCUACACACACGCUACAAUGGCCGCUACAGCGAGAAGCCACUCCGGCGAGGAGGAGCAGAUCUCUAAAAGGCGGCCUCAGUUCAGAUUGCACUCUGCAACCCGAGUGCA